GGAACGAACGCUGGCGGCAUGCCUAAUACAUGCAAGUCGAACGAACUCUUCGGAGUUAGUGGCGCACGGGUGCGUAACGCGUGGGAAUCUGCCCCUUGGUUCGGAAUAACAGUUGGAAACGACUGCUAAUACCGGAUGAUGACGAAAGUCCAAAGAUUUAUCGCCAAGGGAUGAGCCCGCGUAGGAUUAGCUAGUUGGUGAGGUAAAGGCUCACCAAGGCAACGAUCCUUAGCUGGUCUGAGAGGAUGAUCAGCCACACUGGGACUGAGACACGGCCCAGACUCCUACGGGAGGCAGCAGUAGGGAAUAUUGGACAAUGGGACGAAAGCCUGAUCCAGCAAUGCCGCGUGAGUGAUGAA
Molecule: ribosomal RNA, 359 nt
Filed under: uncultured soil bacterium
Lineage: Bacteria
Description: bacterial SSU rRNA
Rfam family: Bacterial small subunit ribosomal RNA
Source: RNAcentral